GAGUUUGAUCCUGGCUCAGGAUGAACGCUAGCGGCAGGCCUAACACAUGGAAGUCGAACGGUAACAGCAGAGCUUGCUCUGGCUGACGAGUGGCGCACGGGGGCGUAAUGCGAUCUACCUUUUACAGAGGGAUAGCCUUUAGAAAUGAAGAUUAAUACCUCAUAGUAUGAUGAUAAGGCAGCUUAUUAUUAUUAAAGCUUCGGCGGUAAAAGAUGAGUAUGCGUUCUAUUAGCUAGAUGGUGUGGUAACGGCACACCAUGGCAACGAUAGAUAGGGGCCCUGAGAGGGGGAUCCCCCACACUGGUACUGAGACACGGACCAGACUCCUACGGGAGGCAGCAGUGAGGAAUAUUGGACAAUGGAGGCAACUCUGAUCCAGCCAUGCCGCGUGCAGGAAGACUGCCCUAUGGGUUGUAAACUGCUUUUAUACAGGAAGAAACACUCCCUCGUGAGGGAGCUUGACGGUACUGUAAGAGGAAGCAUCGGCUAACUCCGUGCCAGCAGCCGCGGUAAUACGGAGGAUCCAAGCGUUAUCCGGAAUCAUUGGGUUUAAAGGGUCCGUACGUGGAUAAUUAAGUCAGAGGUGAAAUCCUGCAGCUCAACUGUAGAAUUGCCUUUGAUACUGGUUGUCUUGAGUCAUUAUGAAGUAGUUAGAAUAUGUAGUGUAGCGGUGAAAUGCAUAGAUAUUACAUAGAAUACCAAUUGCGAAGGCAGAUUACUAACAAUAUACUGAGACUGAUGGACGAAAGCGUGGGUAGCGAACAGGAUUAGAUACCCUGGUAGUCCACGCCGUAAACGAUGGAUACUAGCUGUUGGGCUUCUACUGAGUGGCCAAGCGAAAGUGAUAAGUAUCCCACCUGGGGAGUACGUUCGCAAGAAUGAAACUCAAAGGAAUUGACGGGGGCCCGCACAAGCGGUGGAGCAUGUGGUUUAAUUCGAUGAUACGCGAGGAACCUUACCAGGGCUUAAAUGUAGAUUGACAGGGGUGGAAACACCUUUUCCUUCGGGCAAUUUACAAGGUGCUGCAUGGUUGUCGUCAGCUCGUGCCGUGAGGUGUCAGGUUAAGUCCUAUAACGAGCGCAACCCCUGUUGUUAGUUGCCAGCGAGUCAAGUCGGGGACUCUAACAAGACUGCCGGUGCAAACCGUGAGGAAGGUGGGGACGACGUCAAAUCAUCACGGCCCUUACGUCCUGGGCUACACACGUGCUACAAUGGUCGGUACAGCGGGCAGCCACUACGCAAGUAGGAGCGAAUCCACAAAACCGGUCACAGUUCGGAUCGGAGUCUGCAACUCGACUCCGUGAAGCUGGAAUCGCUAGUAAUCGGAUAUCAGCCAUGAUCCGGUGAAUACGUUCCCGGGCCUUGUACACACCGCCCGUCAAGCCAUGGAAGCUGGGAGUAUCUGAAGUCGGUCACCGCAAGGAGCU
RNAcentral lists this ribosomal RNA (1427 nucleotides) under uncultured prokaryote. RNAcentral describes it as "partial 16S ribosomal RNA". It matches the Rfam family "Bacterial small subunit ribosomal RNA". The record is from RNAcentral.